RNAcentral lists this ribosomal RNA (629 nucleotides) under Salmonella enterica subsp. enterica serovar Typhi str. CT18. Its description in RNAcentral is "partial 23S ribosomal RNA". It matches the Rfam family "Bacterial large subunit ribosomal RNA", at positions 1 to 649 of the family's 2925-position model. The record is from RNAcentral. Lineage: Bacteria; Pseudomonadati; Pseudomonadota; Gammaproteobacteria; Enterobacterales; Enterobacteriaceae.
GGGUUGUGAGGUUAAGCGACUAAGCGUACACGGUGGAUGCCCUGGCAGUCAGAGGCGAUGAAGGGCGUGCUAAUCUGCGAUAAGCGCCGGUAAGGUGAUAUGAACCGUUAUAACCGGCGAUACCCGAAUGGGGAAACCCAGUGUGAUUCGUCACACUAUCAUUAACUGAAUCCAUAGGUUAAUGAGGCGAACCGGGGGAACUGAAACAUCUAAGUACCCCGAGGAAAAGAAAUCAACCGAGAUUCCCCCAGUAGCGGCGAGCGAACGGGGAGGAGCCCAGAGCCUGAAUCAGCAUGUGUGUUAGUGGAAGCGUCUGGAAAGGCGCGCGAUACAGGGUGACAGCCCCGUACACAAAAGCGCAUAUGCUGUGAGCUCGAUGAGUAGGGCGGGACACGUGGUAUCCUGUCUGAAUAUGGGGGGACCAUCCUCCAAGGCUAAAUACUCCUGACUGACCGAUAGUGAACCAGUACCGUGAGGGAAAGGCGAAAAGAACCCCGGCGAGGGGAGUGAAAAAGAACCUGAAACCGUGUACGUACAAGCAGUGGGAGCCCCACCACUAAGCCAGUGGUGAACUCCACAUACGCAUCCUUUGCUGAGGAGACGGUUAACGGAGCGAAAGCGACGUUCAA